UAAUACGUAGGGUGCAAGCGUUGUCCGGAAUCAUUGGGCGUAAAGCGCGCGUAGGCGGCCCGAUAGGUCCGCUGUAAAAGUCAACGGCUCAACUGUUGAAAGCCGGUGGAUACUGUCGGGCUAGAGCACGGAAGAGGCAAGUGGAAUUCCUGGUGUAGCGGUGGAAUGCGCAGAUAUCAGGAGGAACACCUAUAGCGAAGGCAGCUUGCUGGGACGUUACUGACGCUGAGGCGCGAAAGCGUGGGGAGCGAACAGGAUUAGAUACCCUGGUAGUCCACGCCGUAAACGAUGACAACUAGGUGUGGGAGGUGUCGACUCCUCCCGUGCCGUCGCUAACGCAUUAAGUUGUCCGCCUGGGGAGUACGGCCGCAAGGCUAAAACUCAAAUGAAUUGACGG
Molecule: ribosomal RNA, 397 nt
Filed under: uncultured bacterium
Lineage: Bacteria
Description: bacterial SSU rRNA
Rfam family: Bacterial small subunit ribosomal RNA
Source: RNAcentral